ACGGCGAGUGAAGCGGCAACAGCUCAAAUUUGAAAUCUGGCCCCCUCGGGGUCCGAGUUGUAAUUUGUAGAGGAUGUUUCGGCGAGUGCUCCCGUCUAAGUUCCUUGGAACAGGACGUCAUAGAGGGUGAGAAUCCCGUAUGUGAUGGGUUGCGCGAGCCAUGUGAAACUCCUUCGACGAGUCGAGUUGUUUGGGAAUGCAGCUCUAAAUGGGAGGUAAAUUUCUUCUAAAGCUAAAUACCGGCCAGAGACCGAUAGCGCACAAGUAGAGUGAUCGAAAGAUGAAAAGCACUUUGGAAAGAGAGUUAAAAAGUACGUGAAAUUGUUGAAAGGGAAGCGCUUGCAACCAGACUUGCCCGCAGUUGCUCAGCCCGCCUCCUGGUGGGUGCACUCUUCUGCGGUCAGGCCAGCAUCAGUUCGGGCGGCCGGAUAAAGGCGUCGGGAAUGUAGCUCCUCUCGGGGAGUGUUAUAGCCCGGCGCGACAUGCGGCCAGCCUGGACUGAGGAUCUCGCUUCGGCUAGGAUGCUGGCGUAAUGGUUGUAAGCGGCCCGUCUUGAAACACGGACCAAGGAGUCUAACAUCUAUGCGAGUGUUUGGGUGUCAAACCCAUGCGCGUAAUGAAAGUGAACGGAGGUGGGAACGCGCAAGCGUGCACCAUCGACCGAUCCUGAUGUCUUCGGAUGGAUUUGAGUAAGAGCAUAGCUGUUGGGACCCGAAAGAUGGUGAACUAUGCCUGAAUAGGGUGAAGUCAGAGGAAACUCUGAUGGAGGCUCGCAGCGGUUCUGACGUGCAAAUCGAUCGUCAAAUUUGGGUAUAGGGGCGAAAGACUAA
This 830-nucleotide ribosomal RNA is filed under the name Saccharata banksiae. RNAcentral describes it as "eukaryotic LSU rRNA". It matches the Rfam family "Eukaryotic large subunit ribosomal RNA", at positions 86 to 934 of the family's 3401-position model. Lineage: Eukaryota; Fungi; Ascomycota; Dothideomycetes; Botryosphaeriales; Saccharataceae. The record is from RNAcentral.